CUGAACCUGAUUUGUUUAGUGACUCAGUUUCUGGGAUGGAAAAGAAAGCAUUUAAGGUCCGUUUUAUAAAUCUGGAAGGGCUAAGUCACUGUAAAGCCAAUGAAUAUUUUGACCUGUAAUCAUUGUUCUAUCAGAGCAAUGUUUUGCCUGCAUCAAGAUCACACAAAUCUCAAUGAACUAAUGAUCAUAAUCUGUUUGCACUGAAUUGAAGAGGUAACUGCUGGUUAGGAUAGAGGAAGAUCACCUUUCAUCUUUGAAUAAUGCCAUUGAGUCUUUUGCAUCUUCUUAAAUUGGACCUCUGAUUAAUAUCCCAAAUAAAGAAGGCAGCUUUCAUUCAACAGCAUGCAAUUUGUAGUCAAAUCUUUGGAUGAGUACUGGUAACUGAAAUCUUCUUAUCUGAGGUUCCAUUAACUACACACACCUGCUUCCCAUCAGAAAAUGCAGGAUAAAGACCCUGUGAUCACAACAAGGAGCUGCCAGUUCGUUGGUCAACUCUGGUGUCACUGCACCAUCAAAUUAAAAGCUGACAUUUUCUGUAACAACAACCGUGGGAAGCCUUCCUUUUGCAGCAACACACACAAAAUGCUGGAGGAACUCAGCAGGUCAGGCAGCAUCUAUGGAAGUGAAUGAACAGUUGAUGCUUCAGGCUGAGACACACCAUCAAAACUGAAAAGGAAGAGGAAGGGCACAUGAAUUAAGUUCCUUUCUCAUCCUAUUUAACCUGUUUGGAGAUUUUGUGAUGGCUCACCACAGCAUUUUUUCCAAUAUUUAUCUUUGAUUCUCCAUUGGGUACAACUGUACUUCCAUUUUUUUUAAUUCAAGUUAGAAAAUCAUAUGAAAAAAUUCUUCCCUCAAUCCAGCUUGAUUACACCUAUUGUUCUGUCUGAAUCUAACCUCUUCAAACCAUAACCAUAUGUUGAAAAAGCUCUCAUUCAAAAAUGUCAGCUAAAUUUAUCAUGUAGUUCAAAGUUUAUUUAAAGUUCUUUGAUUGUGAAGCAUCAUCCAAGACUUAAUGCCGCCUUUGUAGUCAGGGUUUCUUCACUCUGGAUCAUAUUUGCAUCUGUGGUUCUAAUACAUGAAGCUGUCCGGGUAUUAGCAGUGACAUACAUUUUGCAAUGUACCUUGAAACGCAUUUUCACUGCCUACUACUAUGCUAACUGAUGUCACACCCUCCCUAUAAAAUCUACUGCAGAACCUGGCUUUAGCAUGGCACGUGAGACUUUAUCUAGAACAGUUGAAAAGGGACUAGGCUACAAAUUCCAGUGCUGACAACUGGCUUUAGGAGUAUCCAUUUUAAAUUUAACAAAAUACUCAUUUUUCACAGUAGUUCUCCAUCUAGCAUCUAAUCACUCAUCCUCUUACCCCCAAUCCAAGGUUGUUCAUAACACCAACUGCAAUAGUUGAUACAGUUGUUGUACAGCUGAAUAGAGAUUGCAAAGAAAGAUUAACUAAACAUUUGUUUCAGGAACUUGAUGCAUUUUUCAACUUUCUAGUGUCAGGGUAGUGAGAUUUCAAGCAAUUGCUGAACACAAGAGAUUCUGCAGAUGCUGGAAAUCUUGAGCAACACACAUUUACUCAUAUAAAAUAGAAUGGA
Molecule: long non-coding RNA, 1594 nt
Organism: Mobula hypostoma (lesser devil ray)
Lineage: Eukaryota; Metazoa; Chordata; Chondrichthyes; Myliobatiformes; Myliobatidae
Exons: 3
Source: RefSeq, a predicted model, not a curated record